RNAcentral lists this transfer RNA (81 nucleotides) under Gammaproteobacteria bacterium. RNAcentral's name for it is "tRNA-His". The stretch from base 3 to 59 matches the Rfam family "tRNA". From Rfam's summary of the family: Transfer RNA (tRNA) molecules are approximately 80 nucleotides in length. The record is from RNAcentral. Lineage: Bacteria; Pseudomonadati; Pseudomonadota; Gammaproteobacteria.
CGGCCCGGGUAGCUCAGCCUCGUUAGAGCGCCGGACUGUGGAUCCGGAGGCCCCGGGUUCAAACACGCGGCGGGCCCGCCA